Molecule: ribosomal RNA, 445 nt
Filed under: uncultured Anaerolineaceae bacterium
Lineage: Bacteria; Bacillati; Chloroflexota; Anaerolineae; Anaerolineales; Anaerolineaceae
Description: bacterial SSU rRNA
Rfam family: Bacterial small subunit ribosomal RNA
Source: RNAcentral
GCACAAGCAGCGGAGCGUGUGGUUUAAUUCGAUGCUACACGAAGAACCUUACCAGGGUUUGACAUGCAAGUGGUAGGAAACCGAAAGGCGACCGACCCUUCGGGGAGCUUGCACAGGUGCUGCAUGGCUGUCGUCAGCUCGUGUCGUGAGAUGUUCGGUUAAGUCCGCUAACGAGCGCAACCCUCGUCGUAUGUUACAAGUGUCAUACGAGACUGCCGGUAAAAGCCGGAGGAAGGUGAGGAUGAUGUCAAGUCAGCAUGACCUUUAUAUCCAGGGCUACACACACGCUACAAUGGUCUGUACAAUGGGUAGCCAAGCCGCGAGGCGGAGCCAAUCCUGAAAGCAGGCCUCAGUUCAGAUUGCAGUCUGCAACUCGACUGCAUGAAGCCGGAGUUGCUAGUAACCGCAGGUCAGCAAUACUGCGGUGAAUACGUUCCCGGGUCUU